This is a long non-coding RNA of Syngnathoides biaculeatus (alligator pipefish), 793 nucleotides long. RefSeq lists it as uncharacterized. Lineage: Eukaryota; Metazoa; Chordata; Actinopteri; Syngnathiformes; Syngnathidae. The record is from RefSeq and is a predicted model, not a curated record. The transcript is spliced from 4 exons.
AAAAAAAUCAAAAAUCAACAUGGUUCACAUUUGAAGGAUUUCUCUCGCUCUCUGGGUCAUGAUUGUCUCCCAGUAAGGAGAUUAAGAUAGAACGCCCAAUCCGGGGAUUUAAAAAGAGAGAGAGAGGGAGAAAAGAUAGAAAACGACUCCAUGUCGGCCAUUCGAUGAGAGAUCCAAAACUGUACAGUAUUAUUAUUUUUAUCUGUAACUUUCGGAGACGUUUGAUUUACUUUGAAGUGGAAAUUAAUCUUGAUCACAGCCACUACUUCAAGUUUUCAGUGUUUGACAUUUUUGGGGGCUUUUUCGGGGGCGACACACAUACACACCCAAAAUUAUACAUUGGUAUGGAGUUUAUUUUGGAUAAAUUAAAAGGUAACAUUAAUGUGCAUGUGGAGCGAGUCACUCAUAAUUGCCCUCCGCUUUUUCUAGAUCAAAGUUUAUGAAGACUUUAUUACACGUCAUUAAAUAAAAAGUGCAAUCUGUGAUGCUAUUGCUCACUUUUUUUUUUUCAUUGGCGCUAAUAAGGUCUAAAUAUUGUUGCCCCACUUCCCGGCCCAGAAAGGAGAGCAGGUAUCUGGAUGGGAAGGCGGGGACGCUCAAACACCAACCCCAGCCUAUCGGCAAGUUUCUCAUCAAGUAAUCACAACCUGCAGAAACAAGACGGGCGUGACGGUUCCGAAGGCGGCCAGCAGGCCCACCCGCGUGACCAAGAAGGGAAGUUCCUGGAGGGCCACCCCGGCUGAGGACCGGAAGGGGGACUCCGGGGCGAGGACCGCCCGCAGGCAGGACAGGA